This 558-nucleotide ribosomal RNA is filed under the name Biscogniauxia sp. genotype 309. Its description in RNAcentral is "eukaryotic LSU rRNA". It matches the Rfam family "Eukaryotic large subunit ribosomal RNA", at positions 31 to 599 of the family's 3401-position model. The record is from RNAcentral. Lineage: Eukaryota; Fungi; Ascomycota; Sordariomycetes; Xylariales; Xylariaceae.
AACUUAAGCAUAUCAAUAAGCGGAGGAAAAGAAACCAACAGGGAUUGCCCUAGUAACGGCGAGUGAAGCGGCAACAGCUCAAAUUUGAAAUCUGGCCUUCGGGUCCGAGUUGUAAUUUGCAGAGGAUGCUUUUGGCGCGGUGCCUUCCGAGUUCCCUGGAACGGGACGCCUUAGAGGGUGAGAGCCCCGUACGGUUGGACACCAAGCCUCUGUAAAGCUCCUUCGACGAGUCGAGUAGUUUGGGAAUGCUGCUCUAAAUGGGAGGUAAAUUUCUUCUAAAGCUAAAUACCGGCCAGAGACCGAUAGCGCACAAGUAGAGUGAUCGAAAGAUGAAAAGCACUUUGAAAAGAGGGUUAAAUAGCACGUGAAAUUGUUGAAAGGGAAGCGUUUACGGCCAGACCUUUUCCUGGCGGAUCAUCUGGUGUUCUCACCAGUGCACUUCGCCAGGUUUAGGCCAGCAUCGGCUUCCGUAGGGGGAUAAAAGCAGUGGGAAAGUAGCUCCCUCGGGAGUGUUAUAGCCCUAAGCAUAAUACCCUUACGGGGGCCGAGGACCGCGCU